AGACAAUGUGGGCUUCAAUGUAAAGAAC
RNAcentral lists this non-coding RNA (28 nucleotides) under Cricetulus griseus (Chinese hamster). The record is from RNAcentral. Lineage: Eukaryota; Metazoa; Chordata; Mammalia; Rodentia; Cricetidae.